Molecule: unclassified non-coding RNA, 1241 nt
Filed under: Hevea brasiliensis (rubber tree)
Lineage: Eukaryota; Viridiplantae; Streptophyta; Magnoliopsida; Malpighiales; Euphorbiaceae
Source: RNAcentral
AAAAAAAAAAAUAGCUAGAGCAGCUCGAGGCAUCAAUGAACUACGUACAAUACUGAAAGAUUAGCUUAACAAGUGUAUACACGAGGAAGAAAAAUAUUUAUUACACAACUAAUAGAAAUAACUUAGUUUAACUAUUUUGAUUUAAAGCUUUAAGAACUGAAAGUUAUUUGAGUCAAUUAAGCCUGUUGUUACUGUUGAUAAAUGUCGUACUGCCUUGCCUGGCCUUUGUAUGCAUGUUUCAGAACUUGAAUACAGAUAGAAUACCUCUGGUUAGCCAACAUCUUUGAUGUGAAGAUGCACAUUUAGACGGAGAACCAGCGGCGACAGAGACUGGGACCAUGCUGCCGCUGCCGCUGCUGCUUUAUAUUUAAACAGCUAGUGGUGCCAAAACGAGAUGCUGGUUUCAUAAUGACCCAGGCCUAGCUCCCAUGAAAGGCUGCUCAUCUUAUCAUCUAAAGACUAACUAUUACUACAGUGACAUGCCUGGUUCAAGGAACACAAAAUUGGCCAAAAAAUUCUCCUAUAAUUUUCUGUUAGUUUUAAAUCAGCAGGAAUAGAUGAAGACUCCAUUCUUCUCUUUGAUGGCAUUUCAGUUAGUGGUAUUGACACCACUUAAGAAAACAUGCACUUUCAUUUGUUUUUCCUUUCAUUUGUUUUCCCUCCCAAUCAUGUUGUAGGUUGAAAACCCAAGUUCAGGAUUGUUUUAUCCACCACUAAUGGUCAAGCUUUUGCUGAUACAUGGGAGAUGUUCAGCUUCCAACGCAGACGUAAUGUAACAUCUAUAAUCGAAUUAUCAAUUGGGUUUGGCUUAAUUUGUACACCUGGAGAUAGCUCAAGAAAAAAGCAGAGGUAGGUGAUUAUUCUUCUUCCAUUAGUAUAUUAAAACAACAUCUGGAGAUGAGAAACCACACCCCAAUGGAUUCCAGGAAGCUAAGUUGGUUGGGAUAGGAGAAAGAGAGGAAUGAUUGAUUACAAUGACAGGCUAGAACCAGCCCAACAUACCAUUGACAAUUUGCAUUCUGGAAGAUCGAAUCUUGAUUAAGUUAAAAUUCUCUCGCGUACUCAGCAUAUUCAAAUCUGACUCUGCAUCAUAUAAUUUUUUGCUCAGUAUGAUGAUCGUUAUUAUUCUCUGCUUAUUCAAAUACUAAGUUAAUGUUGGAUUUGACAUAAAUAUAUCCUCCUGCUAGUUCUUGCGUAAUAUCAGGGUUUGCAUGUGAGGCGUCGGUGAAUCUCUCUUCUAU